This 2780-nucleotide long non-coding RNA is filed under the name Sus scrofa (pig). RNAcentral's name for it is "lncRNA (ENSSSCG00005030612.1)". The record is from RNAcentral. Lineage: Eukaryota; Metazoa; Chordata; Mammalia; Artiodactyla; Suidae.
GGCAUGUGGAGGUUCCCAGGCUAGGGGUCCAAUCAGAGCUGCAGCUGCCGGCCUCCACCACAGCCACAGCAAUGCCAGAUGAGAGCCGCAUCCGCGACCUACCCCACAGCUCAUGGCAACGCUGGAUCCUUAACUCACUGAGCGAGGUCAGGGAUCGAACCUGCAACCUCAUGGUUCCUAGUCAGAUUCAUUUCUGCUGCGCCACGACAGGAACUCCUCACUUUCAGAAUUCAACUAUGCUUUUUACCUCCUGGGUUACAAGAUCUACACCGCAGUUCACCGUCCUAAGCCUCAAACAAAAGCCCAAAUUCCAACUUCCUGCUGCCCUCACUAAAGAGGAUUAUUCUCAUUGCACCACACACCUCUAAUACCCGCGAUCAAACGCUCUAAUUCUUAACACAAUCCGGCAGGAAACUGCUACUACUGAGCUCCACUUAGGAGGAAAAACAGCAACAUUUUUGGCACUGGCACAGAACUAAGGAAAAAAUCUACGAAACUGACAAAACCGAACCUCAACACCCUUGCAAUGGAGUAACCAUUACAGCGGAGCGCCACGUCUGAAGAAGAGCCACCGUCCUUGGACUGAGGGGUAAGGGCAAAGGGAGUAGAGGAAAGUGUCCACAAAGGCCGUGGGUCAGGACAGUGACAUGAGGAGGUGCAAAUGUGGCUCAGCCCAGAGGCCACGCGCCGGCGUGCGCGUGCAGCAUGCGGCCCCAGCAGAGCACGGGCACGUGGUCCCACCCCUCGCCCCUCGGAGUAGCCUGUCCAUGUCUGGGGCAACAGUGGAGACCCGUUCCUCAGAACUAGACUGAGCUCUAGUCCCACUGAGAUGGUCCCGGCACAGGACCUUGUCACAUCGGCCUGACCUCUAGGGUCUGCUUCCAAAUAAUGUGCCACCCAAAUGACGCUUUCCAGAGAAAAGAAAAUCAUGGACAUGGAGAAGAAACUCGGAGCGGGAGGGACUGGGAGUCUGGGGUUGACAGAUGCAAACGACUGCCUUUGGAGUGGACAAGCAAUGAGGGCCUGCCGUACAGCACUGGGAACGGCAUCUAGUCCCUUGUGACGGAGCAUGAUCAUGUGAGAACAAGAAUGUAUACAGGUAUGUGUGAUUGGGUCACCUCGCUGCACAGGAGAAAACUGACAGAACACUGUAAACCGGCUAUAAUGGGAAAAAUAAAAAUCAUUAUAAAAAUUAAAAAAAAAAUAAUGUGCCAUCUCUGUCUCUCUUAACAAAGCACCACAGAGCAGGCAGCUAAGGAUCCAGUGGUGUCACUGCAGCAGCCUAGGUGGCUGCUGUGGCAUGGGUUCAAUCCCCAACCCAGGAACUUCCACAUACGACAGGCGCAGCCAAAAAACACAAAAAAGAAAGAAAGCGGACCCAAUGUUGUCUCUGUGAGGAUGGGGGUUCGAUCCCUGGCCUCGCUCAGUAGGUUAAGGAUCUGGUGUUACUGUGAGCUUCAGUGUAGGUUGCAGAUGCAGCUCGGAUCAGAUCCCACAUUGCUGCUACUGUGGUGUAGGCCUCACUCAGCUGCAGCUCCAAUUCAACCCCUAGCCUGGGAACUUCCAUAUGCCGCAGGUGCGGCCCUAAAACAGAAAAAAGAAAGAGCAAGCACCACUUCCGAAGGAGGAGCUAGUGAUGCAAGCGUGACGGCCGCUGGAAGAACAAGGAAAAAGGCGGCCCUUUCCCCUCCCCACUUUCCUUGGAUGAGAAAACUGGAGGCCACCGCAUCCUCGGGACAGAGCCUCCGUGCCUGCCCAGUGCAACUCUCACAAGCGUCCCAUCUUAAUACAUCUAUUUCUUGCCUAAGCAAGCACCACAGAGCAGGCAGCGACGGCAACUCGUCUGUUCUGUCCGAGUCCUCGAGGCUGGAGUUCCGAGCCCAGGGUGUCGCGGGGCUGGGCUGUCCUCAGCCUGGGGACGGCCAUCUCCUCCCGGCUCCCCAACUGUCCUCGCCCCGAGUGCGCAGCCCUGGUGCCUCUUUGCCCAAACUGCCCUUCCUUGAAGGACAGCAGUCACGUGGGCUAGGGCCCACCCUAGUGCCCUCUUUUAUUUAUCCUUCGUCCCCUCUUUAGAGGCCUCUCCCCAAACACAGACGCCUCCCGAGGCGCUGGGGUCAGGGCUUCGCCACCGACCUCGGUGGGGCAGUGGGGGGCACAGCUCAGCGCAUGACCCCCAGGGAGCAGGUGCGGGUGAGGAAAACGUGUUCUGAGACGAGCUGCCCAGGCGUGGCCGUAUUUAACACUGGGGCGUGGGGCCGUCAUCAGAAGAUUUUCUUGGGAGUUCCCGUCGUGGCUCCGUAGUAAUGAACCCGACUGGCAUCCAUGAGGUUGGGGGUUCAAUCCCUGGCCUGGCUCAGUGGGUGAAAGUCCUGGUGUUGCCAUGAGCUGGGGUGUAGGUCACAGAUGCAGCUCCGAUCUCACGUUGCUGUGGCUGUGGUGUAGACCAGCAGAUGCAGCUCCGAUUUGACCCCUAACCUGGGAACUUCUACAUGCCGCGGGUGCGGCGCUAAAAAAAAAGAAAAAAAGCAAUUUAGGUUGUCACCAGCAGUUUAAAAAUAAAAACAGAAUUAAAAAAAAAAAAAAUCAGAGUGCAUUGCUUAUAGUGAGAAUUGUUUUUUUAAACUUUCAUCUCGGCCAUACAAACAUUUACACACACGCGUGUACCCCUGGAGAAGGUACAGCUGCCUGAGGGCUGGUCUAAUUCAAGCUCCCAGCUCCUCACAGGCACUAGAGCUAAGGGAUGAUUUGCUAGUUACGUGAGCUGACACCCAGGGUCCAUG